UCUUCUCGUUCUUUCUCUCCUUCUCUCUGUCUUCUCUUCUCUGUUCAUCCUGGUAGAAAUAAUUUUGAGAGAUAAAUUAGAGUUCUGAGAUCGAAAUAGGUUUGAUUAGAUCAAGACUGGCUGGUUGUGGUGGUGUUAAUUCAUGCAGUUGAUUCAUAUUACAAGAAAAGGAAAAUCAGGGAGAAUCAAUUAGGUUUUCUUAUGAUAUUGGAAAUUUUAUAGAAUUGAUGGAUGUUUAGAGUAGUAGAUUGAUGAAGAACAAAAGGGUAUUCGAUUGAUUGAUGUUGUGAAGCUGUUUAUGAAAGAAAUCGAAGAAGGAAGUGAAGUUAGGGUUUCGUAUAAAUAUCUCAACGAAGUUAUAGAAGAUGAAAUUGAACCUUAGAAAUGGGGAAUUGAAGAUGGGUUUUGUAUAUCGAGAACAAUAAAGAAGAAUUGGGUGUUCUAUUUCGGUUCACAAGGAAGGAUGAAGGAAUUAGGGUUCUGUAAUUCAUUGAAGAUAAGAUUAGAGUUGAUUAAGAUAAUUGCAUAAUUAGGGUUUGUGUUGGAUAUUGAUUGAUUGGAUGAAGUUAGGGUUUCUGGAUGAAAUAGAAGAUGGAAUCGAUAUCUUAGGGAGAAGAUUAGAAAUGGGUUUUGUGUUCUGAGAACUAGUGUUGCAGAUGAAGGCUAGGGAUUGAUUGUGUUAAUAAGAAGAUGAUGGAAUUAAUUUCAGUGCCGAUCUGUUUGAUGCUUGGGCGAAGCUGGUUUGAGGUAAUUGUUUUAUGAGUAUUAAUCUGUUCAAGUUCGUUAUUGAGUUUAUAAAUUUCUUAAUGAAUUAAGAAUUUAUAUGGAAUUGUUGGUGGUCGUGGAUAUGAGUUGUAUGAGAUGUAUAUCUAUUUGAAAAGAAAGUUGAUUAAGAAGAUUAUGAUGUUUGAUGAAGGGGACUGUAAUUGAAGUAAGAUUCCGUGGUUGUUGAUAAUUCUAUGGUGAAUUGAUGAAAUUGUGUUGAGUGACAGUGAAGGAGGUAAUGAGAAUUGAUAGUGGUCAUACAUGCUGGGAAGAACUGGGGGUUGUUUUAUUGCAGCUGGUGAUGGUGGCUAUAGAUGAAUGCUUAGGGAUUUGCAGAAUUUGUUUAGCUCAAAUGGUUGCAGUAAAUGAGCCUAGUGAUAAUGUAUCUAAAGAACUAGAAUUGCAGGUGGUGUGCAGUGGCAGAUGAGAUGGAGGUGGAGUUGGAUAAGAGAGUCUCAAGUAAAUGGGUUGUUGGUGGACUGGAGUUGUGUAAUUGAAACUGUAAGUUAUUAUGCAGGUGGUAGUAAUUAGAGAAGAUGUGGUUGAUAUAGUGAUGGUGCUGAUGUGUUUUGUUUGAUUGUGCAAUCCAGAGAAGAGCUCAUAGUGGUUCUAGGAUUGAUUGUGUUGAGUUAAGAUUGAACAGAAUGGUAAUGGUGGUAAGUUAGUGUAGUACUGUUGGGAUGGAUUGUGUAUGAAUGAAUUGUUGGUAUUCAUUGUAAAGAGCAGGAACUGGAUAUGGUGUUGUCUGUGAUAAAUGAUUAACUGCAAGUGGCCAGAAGUAGAUUUGCAGUUGUAGAUAAAUGUAAUGAGUUGCAAGUAGUGGUGGUAUUGAAUUUUAGUUGUAGUUGAUCCGAAACUGGUGGUGAUUCAGUUUAGUGGAAUGUGUUGCUAAAAGCUGCAAUUGCAGUUAGUCUAUAGUAACAACGAUCGAUUCAAAGGAUGAGCCGGUGGAUCGUGGAUAUCGAGGUAGGCGUGGCUUGUCAUCAAAAGAGUUUGCGAGUUCGGAAUUGUCGAUAUCAAUACUUACGAUUAGCUGUGGAUUUGCGAGUUCGGAAUUGCACAACCAUAUUAUACAUUGUUUGAAGAACGAGUUUGUCCAUAUACAUGUUUGUUUACUUCUGUGAGGAUAUGUUCUUUCAAAUUUAUAUCUACAUGAAUUC
Papaver somniferum (opium poppy) is the source of this 1925-nucleotide long non-coding RNA. RefSeq lists it as uncharacterized. Lineage: Eukaryota; Viridiplantae; Streptophyta; Magnoliopsida; Ranunculales; Papaveraceae. The transcript is spliced from 3 exons. The record is from RefSeq and is a predicted model, not a curated record.